This is a non-coding RNA of Petromyzon marinus (sea lamprey), 650 nucleotides long. The record is from RefSeq and is a predicted model, not a curated record. Lineage: Eukaryota; Metazoa; Chordata; Hyperoartia; Petromyzontiformes; Petromyzontidae.
CAGCAGCGCCAGGCUCAACAGUCUCAACAGCAGCUCCAGGCUCAACAGUCUCAACAGCAGCUCCAGUUUCAACAGUCUCAACAGCAGCUCCAGGCUCAACAGUCUCAACAACAGCACCAGGCGCAAUCGUCUCAGCAGCAGUUCUAGGCUCAACAGUCUCAACAGCAGCUCCAGGCUUAACGGUCUCAACAGCAGCUCCAGGCUCAACAGUCUCAACAGCAGCUCCAGGCUCAACAGUCUCAACAGCAGCUCUAGGCUCAACAGUCUCAACAGCAGCGCCAGGCUCAACAGUUUCAACAGCAGCGCCAGGCUCAACAACCUCACCACUAACCUCAUCCACACCAAUUGCAUCAGCAGCAGUCACCUCAACUUCUCAAAUAGUGAGAAUAUCGACAACAGCAGCCAAAGCCACCACAACAGCAAGUGUCAACGGGACGACGACUGUUCCACCAGCAGCAUCAACUGCUUCAACAAGAGCAACAGCUGGACUACUGACGUCACAGACAACGGCGGUCACACCAAAUGCCACGGAAGGUCUAAUUGUGCCCGUGACGCAGCCACAAAUUAACGCAGCAAAGUCGACAACUACAGUCUCAACAGCAGCUCCAGGCUCAACAGUCUCAACAGCAGCUCCAGGCUCAACAGUCUCA